UUGCAUGAAGAGCAAGAAAUCAAGAAAGGAUGAGGGAACAAAAAGAAUAUUCUUCCCUGCCAGUGGCUGCACCACCUACCUAAGCAAAGUGAUCGCGUGGCUGGCGCCACAGGUGUAUGAUUGCUUCAGUAUGGUGGAUUACAUUGAUUGGUUUCUGAAUGUUGCAUCUUUUCUAUGAACCCUAUCAGUUGAACUGCCUGACGUGUGGCUCCAUUACACAUGUGCAAUGCUGAGUGGGUCUGGUGAAAGAGAGGGGUGAUGAUGAAGACGAAGAGAGAAGAUGGGCUAUCAAGGAUGAUAAGAUCUUCUGGCACAAAAUCUCAUGAUUCUAAAAGAAGUCACCAGAGGGAUUUGCACUGUGGCCUAUUAAGUACAUUUGCUCAAACAGCAAAUGAAGUCCCCCUAACAAAGUCGCCAUUUUGGCCGGGCUGGGUUAGGAGCCAUCUGGAAAAGUUGUACGUAUCAACCGUCAAACCCACAUUCCUCUUUCGUUUUACCUUUCACAAACUCUUCCUCUCUGACUUUCAGCUAACCAGGGAGAAUGACAUUUUCUGAUUAUCCAAAAUUGCUUUUAAACGUGGUGGAACUAAAAGCACUUUUCAGGAAUCCGAAAGGGAAUUUUACAGAGAUGUUUACUGACCUUUCAGAUAAUGAAGCUACCUGGGUGGGUAGAAGAAUACAGACUGUCCUCAAGUUAAAUAAAAAGAAAUCCGUCUCACAGCAUGGUCUAUUCAGCCCCAUUUCUGACAAAAAAGGAGGUCAUAUCCCUAGUAGAGCCACACUUAGUGAAAGAUCUUACUGUAUAAUGGUUUGUAUGAUUUUUAAACACUGUGCUUCUUCUAUUACAUCAUAGUCAUCCUAUAAAAUCUCUGAUUAUGAUAAUCAAUUCAGCAUGGUGUGAUACAGUAUGCAGUAACAAAAAUU
Long non-coding RNA from Felis catus (domestic cat), 924 nucleotides. RefSeq lists it as uncharacterized. Lineage: Eukaryota; Metazoa; Chordata; Mammalia; Carnivora; Felidae. The record is from RefSeq and is a predicted model, not a curated record. The transcript is spliced from 3 exons.